UCUCUUCUUCUUCUCUCUUCACUCCCUCCUCCCUCUCACCCUCUCUUAAGCCGCCUCCACUGCCAUUACCGUGCGCUGCCAUCGGUGGUGGUCCAAUCACACCCAAACUUUCACCCCUCCCCCCAAUAUCAACCUCCUCUUUUCAUAUUCAUACCCCAAAUCCUCAAACUCCCUCACAAUCUCCGCGAAUCUAGCAAAAAUCGAAACCCUAGCCGCCCCCUUUCCUCAAAAUUUCUCGAGUUUUAGCUGCCCCACACCAUAACACCUACAAUGGAUAGAUCUCAACGAAAUCUAUCCAUUUCUACCAAUUUCACCCCUAAAAGCACACUACCGCGAGCCAACCGCCCUCACUGUUCGUCGCCUCUGCCACCACCCUUGUUGCCCCUAAAACCACCUUAGCCCUCUGUUUUAAAAUAUAUUCGACCUAAGGACACCCGUUUCCUUUUGGUAUGACUCCUAAUUCAUUGAAUUUAGCGUUUACCAAAAUGAAACAAGCGUUCUAAGGUCAGACAUCUGUUGUUCGAGGUGCUCGACACCUCCUCACUACCCAAGAUAGUAUCGAAUCCCGUUUUGUGGUAAUAUCAUAGUUCCCCUUCUAUUUUUCUAAUUUGUUGCUUCUGUAAUUGGGUUUAGGUUUAGUUUAAUUGUAUAUUCCCCUUUUAAUUUAUGUGAACCCAUUUAGUUGGGUACGGAGUUUAAGAAAAGAGAAAAGAUUUUUGAACUUGUGGUGGUAAAAUGAAGCACAUAUAUUUUGUAUUUCCAAAUAGGGAAAAUGGUCAUUCUUUUUGGAACGGACUAAAAAAAAUAGGUUCACAUAAAUUGAAACGGAUGGAGUAUUUCUUAUUGAUAGUUAAUUGCUCGUUCUGAUCAGUGUCAAUUCGAUAGAUCACGUUCAGUUUGCGUAUUCGCUUAAUUGUUUGCUUGAUUUAGCCAUGAAUCAUUUCUCUGAUCGCAAGUGAAUCAGUUUUUCCAUAUGAUUAGGUUCUGAUUAGCUACUAUUAAUAAUCAUUUAUUUAGUUGUUGUUAGUCGUUGUCGGAUAGUUGACAAUGCUUGUUUAAUUUCUGUUUCGCACUUUAGUUGGUGAAUUCAGUUUUUCCAUGUUAGUUUGCACAAAUCAAAUCGUUUUAAUCUAGUUAGUUUGAGUAUUACUUCUAUUUGUUUCUAUUUUGGCUGCCCAUAGUUGUUUGAAUCUGAUUUGUGUGUGAGCAAGUAGGGUGGUACUGUUAUUUGCUGAAAAGCUGAAGAGUAGAUAUGUUUGAUCAUGAGAGUAGGGUACUUGUUUGGAUGCUUUUUACUGUUUAAAGACUAUUUAGAGUAUACUGCUCCUAGUACUAUUUACAGUUAGUGAAAAAAUUAUCCUUUGGACAGAUUUUUGAACCAAAAGUCUGUCCUUUGAAUAGUUAGAGCAGAUUUUAGGUAAAAAAUAUGUCCUAUAAAAAAAAUUCAAUCAUGCAUGCAUUGCCUCUUCUCCUAUAAAAGACUACAUCAUCUUUACAUAUUCUGGACACAUAUUACACUCUAACACAUUACACACAUCUUUAGGGGUCGUUUGGUAGGAUGCAUUAGAUAAAAUAAUGCAUGAAUUAGCUUUGUGUAUUAAUAAUACAUUGUUUGAUACACAUUUUGAACUCAUGGAUUAGUUAUGCAAGCAUUAGUUAUACAUCAUAUUUGGUAUUGUCCUAUGCAUAACUAAUGCAUAGAAAACAAUGGUAUUAGCAAUGAAUGAAUUUUAAUGCAUGCAUUAGCUUAGUUAAAGACAAAAGUGUCCUUCAAAAUUUAUGUUUGAUUAAAAUAUGCUAGUUAGUAUAUUAAUGCAAGUUCAAAAUAACCCAAAUAGUGAGAAAUAAAAUUAUAUCCCUAGUAAAUAAAUAAAUACUUAGCAUAUUUUCUUUUUUUAUAAAUAAAUGUUUAAUUUUAUUUUACAAUAUAGGUAGACAAAUCAAAUAAUUUUUUGUAAACUUUUUCAUAUAAAAAUAUUUCUCAACAUAUGUUUUUUUAAAAAAGUUAGAGUGUGAACUAGUUUUGAGGGCAUUUUUGUAAGCAAACAAUUCUUUUAGAAAUUGUGCAAUGCUUUAAUAGAUCAAACUAAACAAUGAAUAAGAAAUAUGUCAGCAUAACUAAUACCAACAUAACUAAUGCAAGCAUAACUAAUAUCAGCAUUACUAAUACACCCUAUUCAGCAUUAUUCUUAUGCACCCUACCAAACGACCCCUUAGAGUUAUUUGAAUAUACAAAAACUUGAGAGAAAAUCAGCAACUGAACACAUAACGAGUAAGCUGAAUGUUCUGAGUUUUUUGUUGAGCCUUAGAGUGCAAAAUCUUUCAGAAACAUAUAAGAGUCUUAGAGUUUGAUUUUGAGUUCCUUCUCUUAAAGAAUCACUGGUUUUAGUGAGAUUUUUGGGCUGUUUUAAUACGGAUUCACUACUGGUUUAUUGUUGUUUCUGCUGUCAUUGUUGCUGGAAUUUCUGUUUCAUUCAUCACCGAUCUUUGCUUUUCUCUUAUCCAGGUAUUCCUAACAUGCUACUGUAAUCUUUGGAUUAAAAAUGAAUGGAAAUGAAGCUAUUUGAGUUCCCUCCAGUUUAUUAUAAGUUUGAAAGUAUUUUAUUUCUUGUAUAAUUUUGGUAUGGAAGCAUGCUUAAUAAAUCUUUUGUAGUUG
This 2656-nucleotide long non-coding RNA is filed under the name Nicotiana tabacum (common tobacco). Its description in RNAcentral is "long non-coding RNA (NTAB_LNC002327)". Lineage: Eukaryota; Viridiplantae; Streptophyta; Magnoliopsida; Solanales; Solanaceae. The record is from RNAcentral.